CCUACGGGGGGCAGCAGUGAGGAAUAUUGGUCAAUGGACGAGAGUCUGAACCAGCCAAGUAGCGUGAAGGAUGACUGCCCUAUGGGUUGUAAACUUCUUUUAUAUGGGAAUAAAAUGUUCCACGUGUGGGAUUUUGUAUGUACCAUAUGAAUAAGGAUCGGCUAACUCCGUGCCAGCAGCCGCGGUAAUACGGAGGAUCCGAGCGUUAUCCGGAUUUAUUGGGUUUAAAGGGAGCGUAGGUGGAUUGUUAAGUCAGUUGUGAAAGUUUGCGGCUCAACCGUAAAAUUGCAGUUGAAACUGGCAGUCUUGAGUACAGUAGAGGUGGGCGGAAUUCGUGGUGUAGCGGUGAAAUGCUUAGAUAUCACGAAGAACUCCGAUUGCGAAGGCAGUUCACUGGACUGCAACUGACACUGAGGCUCGAAAGUGUGGGUAUCAAACAGUAUUAGAUACCCCUGUAGUC
Molecule: ribosomal RNA, 460 nt
Filed under: uncultured bacterium
Lineage: Bacteria
Description: partial 16S ribosomal RNA
Rfam family: Bacterial small subunit ribosomal RNA
Source: RNAcentral